Non-coding RNA from Fictibacillus macauensis ZFHKF-1, 100 nucleotides. The record is from Rfam. Lineage: Bacteria; Bacillati; Bacillota; Bacilli; Caryophanales; Fictibacillaceae.
UGAUCCUUUAACGACAGUCCCGUGAGACUGAGAAGGAAAACGGUAAACAGUGUGAGCACUGUUUUGUUUCCUCUCGUCUCCGGCGAGAGGAUUUUUUUGU